AGUGAACGCUGGCGGUAGGCCUAACACAUGCAAGUCGAACGGCAGCACAGUAAGAGCUUGCUCUUACGGGUGGCGAGUGGCGGACGGGUGAGGAAUACAUCGGAAUCUACUUUUUCGUGGGGGUUAACGUAGGGAAACUUACGCUAAUACCGCAUACGACCUACGGGUGAAAGCAGGGGAUCUUCGGACCUUGCGCGAUUGAAUGAGCCGAUGUCGGAUUAGCUAGUUGGCGGGGUAAAGGCCCACCAAGGCGACGAUCCGUAGCUGGACUGAGAGGAUGAUCAGCCACACUGGAACUGAGACACGGUCCAGACUACUACGGGAGGCAGCAGUGGGGAAUAUUAGACAAUGGGCGCAAGCCUGAUCCAGCCAUACCGCGUGGGUGAAGAAGGCCUUCGGGUUGUAAAGCCCUUUUGUUGGGAAAGAAAAGCAGCAGGUUGAUACCCCGCUGUUCUGACGGUACCGAAAGAAUAAGCACCGGCUAACUUCGUG
RNAcentral lists this ribosomal RNA (492 nucleotides) under uncultured bacterium. RNAcentral's name for it is "partial 16S ribosomal RNA". It matches the Rfam family "Bacterial small subunit ribosomal RNA", at positions 29 to 507 of the family's 1533-position model. The record is from RNAcentral.